GUGCUUGCUUUGGCAGUCCAUGUACUGACAUGGAAAUGAUACAGAGAAGAUUAUCAUGAUUCUACUCAAGGAUGACAUUCAAAUUUGUGAAGCAUUCCAUAUUUCU
This 106-nucleotide small nuclear RNA is filed under the name Phascolarctos cinereus (koala). Lineage: Eukaryota; Metazoa; Chordata; Mammalia; Diprotodontia; Phascolarctidae. The record is from RNAcentral.